CGGGACCGGUUUGGGAGCCGAGUGCUGGACACGGCCUGGGCCAGCGGCGACGCCCGGCAGCGAGCCCGGCUGGCCACCGAGCUGGCCCCUCACCUCCCGGCGCUGCUCCGGGACCCCUUCGGCCGCGGCGUCGCCCGGAAUUUUUCCCUGGAGCUUUUCCGGAGGGAUCGGCCAGGCUGGGAGCGGCUGCAGAGGGGGGCGGGGCCAAAGGGGCGUGGCCUGAGCCUCUGACCACGCCCCCAACCCUUCUGUCCCGCCCCUCAUUUGCAUAUUCAUAAUUAAACCAUUUAUUUUUGAUUUUUGGGGUUGUUUCUAUGGAAACGAGUGUGGCUUGUUGAGAAAUGGGCGUGGCCUGAGUCUCUGACCACGCCCACACCUUUUCUGUCCCACCCCUCAUUUGCAUAUUCAUAAUUAAACAUUUUAUUUGGGA
Molecule: non-coding RNA, 430 nt
Organism: Lonchura striata (white-rumped munia)
Lineage: Eukaryota; Metazoa; Chordata; Aves; Passeriformes; Estrildidae
Source: RefSeq, a predicted model, not a curated record